GUCUGUAUGAAGUUAUAUGGAGUCUAGCCUGCCCACUGAGUAUUUUAAAGGCCGCAGUAUAUUAACUGUGCAAAGGUAGCAUAAUCAUUAGUUUUUUAAUUGAAGGCUUGUAUGAAGGGUUGGACAAAGAAUAAUCUGUUUCUAUUUUUGUUUUUGAAUUUAACUUUUAAGUGAAAAGGCUUAAGUAAUUUUGAGGGACGAUAAGACCCUAUAAAUCUUUAUAUUAAGUUGUUUUUAGCUGAUUAAUGUUGUAGAUUCAGUAUUAAGACAAAAUAUAUUAUGUUGGGGUGAUGAGAAUACAAUAGAUACCUGUUCUAAAAUAUCAAACAAAAAUUUUUGUGUGAGUAGAAGAUCCUCUUUAUUGAGAUCAGGAGUUUAAGUUACUUUAGGGAUAACAGCGUUAUUUUUUUUGAGAGUUCUUAUCGAAAAAAAAGUUUGCGACCUCGAUGUUGAAUUAAAUUUUCUUUGUGGUGUAGU
RNAcentral lists this ribosomal RNA (477 nucleotides) under Trapezionida stomifera. RNAcentral's name for it is "Munida stomifera partial 16S ribosomal RNA". It matches the Rfam family "Bacterial large subunit ribosomal RNA", at positions 1831 to 2559 of the family's 2925-position model. The record is from RNAcentral. Lineage: Eukaryota; Metazoa; Arthropoda; Malacostraca; Decapoda; Munididae.